Schistosoma rodhaini is the source of this 46-nucleotide non-coding RNA. Lineage: Eukaryota; Metazoa; Platyhelminthes; Trematoda; Strigeidida; Schistosomatidae. The record is from Rfam.
GCACUGCUGAGGAGUCCCAUAAUAGGACGAAACGGCCUUCUAAUGC